CUAAACUAGAGAAGAUUAGAGGAAUGUGUAACCUCACAGAUAAUGAAUGGUUACUUCUAAAACCCCAAUCCAGUAAAUGCAAUGGAUGGUUAACUGGUAAUGUUUCACAUUUUUCAUGCUCAUGCUAUUUUACAUUAUAUCAUACAACAUCAAAGGAUGUUAAAUUAGCUUGUCAAUUUAACACAUUACCAGUACCAGUUUAUGAUCUUUUUGCCAAGAAUUUAACCUGGUGGGCACCCACAUACACAGGGGACUAUAUUUUUCCCAAAGAUAACAUACACAGGUAGCCACACAUAUCCUAAAAGGAGAACUCCUUAAGGUGAGUUCACAAAUUCAGAAUGAUUUAGCCCAUCAUUGGUACGAUGCUUCACUGGUUGGUCCCCUACUGGAUUCCAGAUAAUGAAAUCAUUCUUCUAUCAUUUUGUUAUUAUAGUCCUGAUUUUAUUGUGUAUGAUUUUAUAUAACUGUCACUUUACUUGUACAUUGAGGAAGAGAGUACAGAAAUUAAUCCAUAAUGCAGAACAGAAACAAUUAGAAAUUCUCCUCUCUGCCACUGUAGAGUAUCAACCCAUUUUUAAACUAGGCCUUAGGAAUUACCACAUGGGAAUCGAGGUGAAGAAAUUAAUGAAAGUCCCGCAGGGAGUGACUAGCACCCCUGAAAAUACCAUGUGGAAGUUUCUCUGUCCUGGUAAGAUUUUAUCGAUAAGAUGAGCAAUUGUUUUAUUGCUCAAAGAGGGGAAUGUAAGAAUAUUAAAUAGUUAACUUGUUUAUAUGUAUUUUAUGCUUUUAUAAGGUUUAUAACAUGAUUAUUGCUGACUGAAGGGAUAUUGAAUACUUAAAGUCAAUAUGCUGACUGUGACAGACUAAGGUAUUUCUUCUAUAGGAUGUAAGACAAUGCUAAAAUUUCAGGAUGUCUUGCCCAUUCCGAUUUCAGGAUAUUCUUUUCCAGACGUAUGCAAAAGCUUAUCUUUCCAUUGUCAGAAUAACGUAAUACAAGGAAGUAAUAAAUCUUAUAGUCUGUAC
Pelobates cultripes (western spadefoot toad) is the source of this 1023-nucleotide non-coding RNA. Lineage: Eukaryota; Metazoa; Chordata; Amphibia; Anura; Pelobatidae. The record is from the annotation of a GenBank genome assembly.